GGAGGGGUGGCUGAGUGGUCGAAAGCACCGGUCUUGAAAACCGGCGUACCGCAAGGUACCCAGGGUUCGAAUCCCUGCCCCUCCGCCA
RNAcentral lists this transfer RNA (88 nucleotides) under Cellvibrionales bacterium. Its description in RNAcentral is "tRNA-Ser". It matches the Rfam family "tRNA". Rfam says of the family: Transfer RNA (tRNA) molecules are approximately 80 nucleotides in length. Their secondary structure includes four short double-helical elements and three loops (D, anti-codon, and T loops). The record is from RNAcentral. Lineage: Bacteria; Pseudomonadati; Pseudomonadota; Gammaproteobacteria; Cellvibrionales.